UCCUACGGGGGGCAGCAGUAGGGAAUCUUCCACAAUGGGCGAAAGCCUGAUGGAGCAACGCCGCGUGGGUGAAGAAGGUCUUCGGAUCGUAAAACCCUGUUGUUAGAGAAGAAAGUGCGUGAGAGUAACUGUUCACGUUUCGACGGUAUCUAACCAGAAAGCCACGACUAACUACGUGCCAGCAGCCGCGGUAAUACGUAGGUGGCAAGCGUUAUCCGGAUUUAUUGGGCGUAAAGGGAACGCAGGCGGUCUUUUAAGUCUGAUGUGAAAGCCUUCGGCUUAACCAGAGUAGUGCGUUGGAAACU
RNAcentral lists this ribosomal RNA (305 nucleotides) under uncultured bacterium. RNAcentral's name for it is "bacterial SSU rRNA". It matches the Rfam family "Bacterial small subunit ribosomal RNA", at positions 337 to 634 of the family's 1533-position model. The record is from RNAcentral.